RNAcentral lists this ribosomal RNA (406 nucleotides) under uncultured bacterium. RNAcentral describes it as "partial 16S ribosomal RNA". It matches the Rfam family "Bacterial small subunit ribosomal RNA", at positions 30 to 526 of the family's 1533-position model. The record is from RNAcentral.
AUUGAACGCUGGCGGCAGGCCUAACACAUGCAAGUCGAACGAGUGGCGGACGGGUGAGUAAUGUCUGGGAAACUGCCCGAUGGAGGGGGAUCACUACUGGAAACGGUAGCUAAUACCGCAUAACCUCGGAUGCGCCCAUAUGGGAUUCGCUAGGAGGGGGGGGAACGGCUCCCCUAGGCGACGAUCCCUAGCUGGUCUGAGAGGAUGACCAGCCACACUGGAACUGAGACACGGUCCAGACUCCUACGGGAGGCAGCAGUGGGGAAUAUUGCACAAUGGGCGCAAGCCUGAUGCAGCCAUGCCGCGUGUAUGAAGAAGGCCUUCGGGUUGUAAAGUACUUUCAGCGGGGAGGCGUUACCCGCAGAAGAAGCACCGGCUAACUCCGUGCCAGCCGCCGCGGUAAUUC